ACCUCCACACUCUCUCUCUACCCCUCCCUCUCCCUUAUUUUCUCCUCCUAUAAUCUCUCCUGGGAGUGAAGUUGGAGGGUAGUAGAAGAGGACUUAUCUUUUUGCUGACCUUGAUGGGUUGGUUUAGUCCCAGUGUUUGAUCUCCUUCUAUUCUCCAGGUAGCCUCUUUCGUGUUUCCACUGUUUCCAUUACCCUUAUUUCCCAAUAGCCAGCUCUGCAGCUCAAACUGAGAUUAGUCUUUGCAAUAUCAGCGCUUUGAGUCUCUGGUGGCAUACCUAGUCUAAUUGGAUUUGCGUGGGUGCGUGCGGCAUAGGAUUGUUGUACUGUAUCAGUAUGUUGAAGCUGGAGCAGAAAGCGAGAGUAGCAUGAAAAUGAAAAUGUUCCUUUUGUUUUUAUUUUAACUCUCCAGAACCUUCACAAAGGGACUCGCUUCCGGAUGUUACCAUGGCAACCUGGCAGGGGCUGCCAAAGGGAGUGAAGCGGAAGGAGAGGCUGGAGCACUGUGAGGGAGAGAGAAGCCAAGCAGCUGCUCAAGCAUGGAGAGGGACAUAAAUACUCCCCCCCAGACGAUCUGAAGGUGAAGAAGUCGGAUGUGGAGGUGCUGGGCUGGCGUGGUGACACGUGGUCUGCAGUUGUGAGGCCGGUGGGACGUACUGCCAAAUUCUAUAAAACGACAUUGGAGUCAGCUUACGGUAGAGAAAUUAACAUUUCAUUCUCUGGCAACAGCUCUAGUGGAUAUUCCUGCAGUCAGCAUUCCAAUUGCACGCUCCAACAAAACUUGAGACAUGUGUUGCACUGUGUUGUGUGACAAAACUGCAUAAACUGGCCUUUUAUUGUGCCCAGCACAAGGUGCACUUGUGUAAUGAUCAUGCAGUCUUAUCAGCUUUUUUUGACACCUGUCAGGUGGAUGUAAACAAAUUUGUGCACAAAAUGUGAGUAUAAUAUUUCUGGGAUUUUAUUUCAGCUCAUGAAACAUGGGACCAACACUUUACAUGUUGCAUAUAUAUUUUUGUUCAGUGUAUAUGUAUGCCUCCAGACAAGCAGUCAUUAUUUGUAGUUGUUGAAUUCUAUUUUAAUCGCAAAUCAAGUAAUAUGACAAAUAAGCGAGGGGUGUUAUGUUAAAGGCCCAGUGAUGUCAAAACAUGCUGUGUUUUAUAUAUAUUUCCACACUGAGGUUUUAAUAAUAUUGGAAAAUUGUGAAAAUUAUGAUAAUGCCCUUUUAGUGUAAAAGCUGUUUGAAAUUACUACUCUGACAGUCUUACCAAAAUUCUUGCUUAAAAAGCUAUUUUGUUUCUUCUUCUUGUCCCCAGCUGUGUCAAGGUGCAGCAAUCUUUAUCCAUAAACACUGUAAUACAGACACAUUUGGUGGCUUUGAUGCCAUAAAGGAAGAAAUUCUCAAAGCUAUGGCAUGUAACGACAAAUUCUGUGGUGAAACAGAUCCCAGAGGGAUCCCCCUUUUCACGCGCACACACACACACACACACACGCACACAUAGACAGACAGACAAACAUACCCAAACACACACCUUUGUUUCCUGACGCCCCUCUUUCAUGUCAGAUGACCUGUCCCAACUCUCAACGUUGUGUGAUGGACCUGUGUUCGACGUCAUCACAUCAUUAAGGUUUCCACGGCAGAACCAGGGGAUUCCUUUAGAAGCUGUCACACAGGAAUUAGUUUGAAAGGGGGAAACAUGAUUCGCCAAAGCUUCCUCCAUCGAGCGUCAUGUGAAAGGGUUAGAGGGGGUGUCCCCCUGUUGUGUUAGAUGUUGUGUGCUGAGCUGCACGUGUGACAGCCUAAGACUUGAUCACACACAAAAGCAUGUUCCCACUCGCUGCUCUCUGACAGAAAGAUCCACCUUCAAAAGACCAUAAUGGAGAUUUUUUUGUUGUUGAUCUUUUUGAAUAGAAGAAGAGGAUUGUUAAUUCCUCUUACAGUAUUGGUUAAGAUGACAGCAUGUCUGAAAAGGCUUUGAGCGCAUGGAUAAUCCACAGAGGUGCGGAACACCAGAGGAUAUACCCUGGGUUCGCUUUGGUUUGACGUGAGUCACCGCAAAUGACUGACAUAUACUGUACCUGUGAACAUAUUUUUAACCUGAUGAUUAUAUCUGGUACUAUCCCCAAGGUUUGGUAGGCGGCCCAUGUACUCCCCCCCCCCCCUUCACCAAGGUGGUGACCCUUGUGACCUAAAUAAUUAUCGGCCUAUUUUUAAACUUUCUUGCCUAGCUAUAGUAUCUUUUAUUUAUUCUCAGCUAAGAUCUUUCUUAUCAUUGAAAUGUAUUCUAAAUGUUGGGUUUUAUACCAGGUUAUAGCACUGUCUCUGCUGUGUCCCUAGUUAUAAAUUAUGUGCUUAACUGUAAGAAUAAAAGGUGUCAUUGUGCUGCUCUCUUCAUAGACCUGUCAAAUGCUUUCAAUACUGUUGACCACUCAUUGCAAAUUCAGAGGCUUUACUCAAUUGGCCUAGACCAGGCUGCAAUGUAACUGGUUUUAAAAUGACUUGACAGAUGGAAUUCAAUGUGUAUCUACUGAUGGGUGUUAAAUCAGGUUUCCUGGAUAUUACGAAAGGUGUCCCGCAGGGGUCGAUUCUCUGUCCUUUCCUUUAAGUUUUACUGCUUACAUGUCUGGAAAGAAUUGUAACCUGGACUUGAAUGCCAAUGAUACUGUUGUGUAUGCUAUUUCUCCCAUGGUUGACCAGGCUCUGUCUGAACUACAGUCUGCCUUCAUUGUAAUUAUAGAAAAACUGUAUUAAACUGAAAUCAGUAUUGAAUGCAGGUAAAACUAUGUAUAUGUUCUCUAGAGUGCAUUAAAAUGUGAUUUAAGCAUAUGUACUUUGGAUGGUGUCCAUAUUGAUUGUGUCUCUGCUUAUAAAAAUAUCUGGAUAGAUGAAAAGCUGAGAAAACAAAUGGGCUUCUAUAGAAAAAAUAUGUCCUGCCUCUCGCUAAAUAGUAGAAAGUACAUAUUUCAGUCUAUGUUCUGAUCGGUCCUAGACUGAACGCAGCUGCCACUUCAUUAAAGCCGUUUGAUGCAGUUUGUCAUAGCGCGCUGCGCUUUAUUACGGGCAACAAUUUUAGUACUCAUCACCUCAUUCUCUACCAGAAAGUUGGUUGGCCCUCUUUGAUGUCAAGCAAGUUACUACAUUUUUUUUGCACCUUAUUUUUGGAAUCAGCUCCUGGAAUUAAAUGUGUUCUUUUGGUGCCUCUAGGCCAAUUCAGAAAGCUGAUUGAAGACCUUUUUACAGAUGAAUGUGUUUGUUUUUUAUGACUGUUUCUAUUUUGUAUUUAUGUAUUUUCUGUAAUGUAUGUAAUUCAGGGCUCAUCUGUAAAAGAGAUCUCGGUCUCUCAGUAUGUCUCCCUGAUAAAAUAAAGGUUAAAUUAAUUAAUUGAUUUU
This is a long non-coding RNA of Oncorhynchus keta (chum salmon), 3384 nucleotides long. RefSeq lists it as uncharacterized. The record is from RefSeq and is a predicted model, not a curated record. Lineage: Eukaryota; Metazoa; Chordata; Actinopteri; Salmoniformes; Salmonidae. The transcript has 3 exons.